AUACGUAGGGGGCGAGCGUUGUCCGGAAUGAUUGGGCGUAAAGGGCGCGUAGGCGGCCCGGUAAGUCUGGAGUGAAAGUCCUGUUUUUAAGAUGGGAAUUGCUUUGGAUACUGUCGGGCUUGAGUGCAGGAGAGGUAAGUGGAAUUCCCAGUGUAGCGGUGAAAUGCGUAGAGAUUGGGAGGAACACCAGUGGCGAAGGCGACUUACUGGACUGUAACUGACGCUGAGGCGCGAAAGUGUGGGGAGCAAACAGGAUUAGAUACCCUGGUAGUCCACACUGUAAACGAUGAAUGCUAGGUGUAGGGGGUAUCGACCCCUUCUGUGCCGCAGUCAACACAAUAAGCAUUCCGCCUGGGAGUACGGCCGCAAGGUUGAAACUCAAAUGAAUUGACGGGG
RNAcentral lists this ribosomal RNA (396 nucleotides) under uncultured bacterium. RNAcentral describes it as "partial 16S ribosomal RNA". It matches the Rfam family "Bacterial small subunit ribosomal RNA", at positions 523 to 918 of the family's 1533-position model. The record is from RNAcentral.